GGCUAAACCAUGCACCGAAGCUGCGGCAGCGACACUAUGUGUUGUUGGGUAGGGGAGCGUUCUGUAAGCCUGUGAAGGUGUGUCGUGAGGCAUGCUGGAGGUAUCAGAAGUGCGAAUGCUGACAUAAGUAACGAUAAAGCGGGUGAAAAGCCCGCUCGCCGGAAGACCAAGGGUUCCUGUCCAACGUUAAUCGGGGCAGGGUGAGUCGACCCCUAAGGCGAGGCCGAAAGGCGUAGUCGAUGGGAAACGGGUUAAUAUUCCCGUACUUGGUGUUACUGCGAAGGGGGGACGGAGAAGGCUAUGUUGGCCGGGCGACGGUUGUCCCGGUUUAAGCGUGUAGGUGUGUGUUCCAGGUAAAUCCGGUUCACUUUAACACUGAGGCGUGACGACGAGGCACUACGGUGCUGAAGCAACAAAUGCCCUGCUUCCAGGAAAAGCCUCUAAGCAUCAGGUAACAUCAAAUCGUACCCCAAACCGACACAGGUGGUCAGGUAGAGAAUACCAAGGCGCUUGAGAGAACUCGGGUGAAGGAACUAGGCAAAAUGGUGCCGUAACUUCGGGAGAAGGCACGCUGACACGUAGGUGAAGUGAUUUACUCAUGGAGCUGAAGUCAGUCGAAGAUACCAGCUGGCUGCAACUGUUUAUUAAAAACACAGCACUGUGCAAACACGAAAGUGGACGUAUACGGUGUGACGCCUGCCCGGUGCCGGAAGGUUAAUUGAUGGGGUCAGCGCAAGCGAAGCUCCUGAUCGAAGCCCCGGUAAACGGCGGCCGUAACUAUAACGGUCCUAAGGUAGCGAAAUUCCUUGUCGGGUAAGUUCCGACCUGCACGAAUGGCGUAAUGAUGGCCAGGCUGUCUCCACCCGAGACUCAGUGAAAUUGAACUCGCUGUGAAGAUGCAGUGUACCCGCGGCAAGACGGAAAGACCCCGUGAACCUUUACUAUAGCUUGACACUGAACAUUGAGCCUUGAUGUGUAGGAUAGGUGGGAGGCUUUGAAGCGUGGACGCCAGUCUGCGUGGAGCCGACCUUGAAAUACCACCCUUUAAUGUUUGAUGUUCUAACGUGGACCCGUGAUCCGGGUUGCGGACAGUGUCUGGUGGGUAGUUUGACUGGGGCGGUCUCCUCCUAAAGAGUAACGGAGGAGCACGAAGGUUGGCUAAUCCUGGUCGGACAUCAGGAGGUUAGUGCAAUGGCAUAAGCCAGCUUGACUGCGAGCGUGACGGCGCGAGCAGGUGCGAAAGCAGGUCAUAGUGAUCCGGUGGUUCUGAAUGGAAGGGCCAUCGCUCAACGGAUAAAAGGUACUCCGGGGAUAACAGGCUGAUACCGCCCAAGAGUUCAUAUCGACGGCGGUGUUUGGCACCUCGAUGUCGGCUCAUCACAUCCUGGGGCUGAAGUAGGUCCCAAGGGUAUGGCUGUUCGCCAUUUAAAGUGGUACGCGAGCUGGGUUUAGAACGUCGUGAGACAGUUCGGUCCCUAUCUGCCGUGGGCGCUGGAGAACUGAGGGGGGCUGCUCCUAGUACGAGAGGACCGGAGUGGACGCAUCACUGGUGUUCGGGUUGUCAUGCCAAUGGCACUGCCCGGUAGCUAAAUGCGGAAGAGAUAAGUGCUGAAAGCAUCUAAGCACGAAACUUGCCCCGAG
RNAcentral lists this ribosomal RNA (1641 nucleotides) under Salmonella enterica. RNAcentral describes it as "partial 23S ribosomal RNA". It matches the Rfam family "Bacterial large subunit ribosomal RNA", at positions 1179 to 2803 of the family's 2925-position model. The record is from RNAcentral. Lineage: Bacteria; Pseudomonadati; Pseudomonadota; Gammaproteobacteria; Enterobacterales; Enterobacteriaceae.